Molecule: ribosomal RNA, 417 nt
Filed under: uncultured beta proteobacterium
Lineage: Bacteria; Pseudomonadati; Pseudomonadota; Betaproteobacteria
Description: bacterial SSU rRNA
Rfam family: Bacterial small subunit ribosomal RNA
Source: RNAcentral
GAGUUUGAUCUUGGCUCAGAUUGAACGCUGGCGGCAUGCCUUACACAUGCAAGUCGAACGGCAGCACGGGAGCAAUCCUGGUGGCGAGUGGCGAACGGGUGAGUAAUACAUCGGAACGUGCCCAAUCGUGGGGGAUAACGCAGCGAAAGCUGUGCUAAUACCGCAUACGAUCUACGGAUGAAAGCAGGGGACCGCAAGGCCUUGCGCGAAUGGAGCGGCCGAUGGCAGAUUAGGUAGUUGGUGGGGUAAAGGCUCACCAAGCCAACGAUCUGUAGCUGGUCUGAGAGGACGACCAGCCACACUGGGACUGAGACACGGCCCAGACUCCUACGGGAGGCAGCAGUGGGGAAUUUUGGACAAUGGGCGCAAGCCUGAUCCAGCCAUGCCGCGUGCAGGAUGAAGGCCUUCGGUUGUAAC